This 253-nucleotide ribosomal RNA is filed under the name uncultured bacterium. Its description in RNAcentral is "partial 16S ribosomal RNA". It matches the Rfam family "Bacterial small subunit ribosomal RNA", at positions 524 to 776 of the family's 1533-position model. The record is from RNAcentral.
UACGGAGGGUGCAAGCGUUAAUCGGAAUUACUGGGCGUAAAGCGCACGUAGGCGGUUCAGUCAGCCAGCCGUGAAAGCCCCGGGCUCAACCUGGGAAUUGCGGUUGGAACUGCUGAGCUAGAGUAUGGUAGAGGGGUGUGGAAUUCCAGGUGUAGCGGUGAAAUGCGUAGAUAUCUGGAGGAACAUCAGUGGCGAAGGCGACACCCUGGACCAAUACUGACGCUGAGGUGCGAAAGCGUGGGGAGCAAACAGG